Molecule: transfer RNA, 68 nt
Filed under: Apaloderma vittatum (bar-tailed trogon)
Lineage: Eukaryota; Metazoa; Chordata; Aves; Trogoniformes; Trogonidae
Rfam family: tRNA
About the family: Transfer RNA (tRNA) molecules are approximately 80 nucleotides in length. Their secondary structure includes four short double-helical elements and three loops (D, anti-codon, and T loops).
Source: Rfam by way of RNAcentral
GAAGAAUUAGCUCAGUCGGUUGAGCGUGGUGCUGAUAACACCAAGGUCACAGGAUCAAUCCCUGUUCG